RNAcentral lists this ribosomal RNA (305 nucleotides) under uncultured bacterium. RNAcentral's name for it is "bacterial SSU rRNA". It matches the Rfam family "Bacterial small subunit ribosomal RNA", at positions 336 to 658 of the family's 1533-position model. The record is from RNAcentral.
UUCCUACGGGGCGCAGCAGUGGGGGAUAUUGCACAGUGGGGGGAACCCUGAUGCAGCGACGCCGCGUGGGUGAAGAAGCGCCUCGGCGCGUAAAGCCCUGUCAGCAGGGAAGAAAAUGACGGUACCUGACUAAGAAGCCCCGGCUAACUACGUGCCAGCAGCCGCGGUAAUACGUAGGGGGCAAGCGUUAUCCGGAUUUACUGGGUGUAAAGGGAGCGUAGACGGCUUGGCAAGCCAGAUGUGAAAGGCUGGGGCUCAACCCCAGGACUGCAUUUGGAACUGUCAUGCUAGAGUGUCGGAGAGGC